CGUGGCAGAUAGCAUUGCCGCUUUUCAAAGUUAUAUGAAACUAGAGUGCCAUCCCUGUAUCAUUGGAAUCUGGAGCGUACUGGACAAUACAGGGAGACAGUCGCAGCGGGGCUUUAUUAAGCUUAUUAACGGAACAUACAAGGGUGGACAUAUCUACCUCGCAGUGGUUGGGGAAAAUAUAACCGCCGAGAGGGACGUGAGGAUGGAAGUUUUACUGUCUCUGCCAGUUAUCUUUCAAACGACACGGUGGAAUAAAGUGAAAGAGAAGCGUUCUCGAGAACAACCUUAAUUAAGCAGUGAUAUUUCACGGCAACCUGUUUAAGAAAUUUGAGUUGUUCCUCCUCGUAGAUACAUUUAUUGAGACAAAACAAUUUUGCUGAAA
Molecule: long non-coding RNA, 382 nt
Organism: Acromyrmex echinatior (Panamanian leafcutter ant)
Lineage: Eukaryota; Metazoa; Arthropoda; Insecta; Hymenoptera; Formicidae
Source: RefSeq, a predicted model, not a curated record